Molecule: non-coding RNA, 190 nt
Filed under: Lysinibacillus contaminans
Lineage: Bacteria; Bacillati; Bacillota; Bacilli; Caryophanales; Bacillaceae
Source: RNAcentral
AUUGAAUAAAAUGAUAAAGGUUCUUUAUCUGCAAAGGAUAAAGUGAAAAGGGAAAUCGGUGUAAUUCCGAUGCGGUCCCGCCACUGUAAGUGUGAGUUUUUUCAACCGAUGCCACUGAAAAAUUUUUGGGAAGGCAUGAAAAAGCGUUAGUAGCACGAGCCAGGAGACCUGCCUUUAUAGAGCAACACUA